Molecule: ribosomal RNA, 493 nt
Filed under: uncultured bacterium
Lineage: Bacteria
Description: partial 16S ribosomal RNA
Rfam family: Bacterial small subunit ribosomal RNA
Source: RNAcentral
UGGGGAAUAUUGGACAAUGGGCGCAAGCCUGAUCCAGCAAUGCCGCGUGAGUGAUGAAGGCCUUAGGGUUGUAAAGCUCUUUCGCACGCGACGAUGAUGACGGUAGCGUGAGAAGAAGCCCCGGCUAACUUCGUGCCAGCAGCCGCGGUAAUACGAAGGGGGCUAGCGUUGUUCGGAAUUACUGGGCGUAAAGGGCGCGUAGGCGGCCUGUUUAGUCAGAAGUGAAAGCCCCGGGCUCAACCUGGGAAUAGCUUUUGAUACUGGCAGGCUUGAGUUCCGGAGAGGAUGGUGGAAUUCCCAGUGUAGAGGUGAAUUCGUAGAUAUUGGGAAGAACACCGGUGGCGAAGGCGGCCAUCUGGACGGACACUGACGCUGAGGCGCGAAAGCGUGGGGAGCAAACAGGAUUAGAUACCCUGGGUAGUCCAGCGCCGUAAACGAUGAAUGCUAGACGUCGGGGUGCACGCACUUCGGUGUCGCCGCUAACGCAUUAAGC